UGAGGAAUAUUGGACAAUGGGCGCAAGCCUGAUCCAGCCAUGCCGCGUGCAGGAAGAAGCAUCUAUGGUGUGUAAACUGCUUUUGUACGGGAAGAAACACUCCUACGUGUAGGAGCUUGACGGUACCGUAAGAAUAAGGAUCGGCUAACUCCGUGCAAGCAGCCGCGGUAAUACGGAGGAUCCAAGCGUUAUCCGGAAUCAUUGGGUUUAAAGGGUCCGUAGGCGGUUUAAUAAGUCAGUGGUGAAAGCCCAUCGCUCAACGAUGGAACGGCCAUUGAUACUGCUAGACUUGAAUUACAAGGAAGUAACUAGAAUAUGUAGUGUAGCGGUGAAAUGCUUAGAUAUUACAUGGAAUACCAAUUGCGAAGGCAGGUUACUACUUGUGGAUUGACGCUGAUGGACGAAAGCGUGGGGAGCGAACA
This 422-nucleotide ribosomal RNA is filed under the name uncultured bacterium. Its description in RNAcentral is "bacterial SSU rRNA". It matches the Rfam family "Bacterial small subunit ribosomal RNA", at positions 355 to 774 of the family's 1533-position model. The record is from RNAcentral.